Molecule: long non-coding RNA, 209 nt
Filed under: Mytilus galloprovincialis (Mediterranean mussel)
Lineage: Eukaryota; Metazoa; Mollusca; Bivalvia; Mytilida; Mytilidae
Source: RNAcentral
UUCCCAGUUAAAAUCAAUAUGAUAUCAAUCUCAUAUUUAUUUAUGGUUUUGAUGUAAAAAAUAAUCAAUUGGCUUAUAUGUUUUUUAAUUCAACUCUGCUGUUCUAUUCUAUUUCAACAUCAAUUUUAAUGUCAUACAUUUUAUCAGAUGCUGAGAAAUUUCUUCAUCACAGAAGUUAAGUCAUUGUAUCAUCUCUGACCUUAUUUUCU